Molecule: ribosomal RNA, 452 nt
Filed under: uncultured Desulfomonile sp.
Lineage: Bacteria; Pseudomonadati; Thermodesulfobacteriota; Desulfomonilia; Desulfomonilales; Desulfomonilaceae
Description: bacterial SSU rRNA
Rfam family: Bacterial small subunit ribosomal RNA
Source: RNAcentral
ACAAGCGGUGGAGCAUGUGGUUUAAUUCGAUGCAACGCGAAGACCUUACCUGGGCUUGAAAUUGCCCGGACAGCCGUGGAAACACGGUUUCCUUCGGGCCGGGUGACAGGUGCUGCAUGGCUGUCGUCAGCUCGUGUCGUGAGAUGUUGGGUUAAGUCCCGCAACGAGCGCAACCCUUGCCUUUAGUUGCCAGCAUUCAGUUGGGCACUCUAAAGGGACUGCCGGUGUUAAACCGGAGGAAGGUGAGGAUGACGUCAAGUCCUCAUGGCCCUUAUGUCCAGGGCUACACACGUGCUACAAUGGGCCGUACAAAGGGAUGCAAACCCGUGAGGAGGAGCAAAUCCCAAAAAACGGUUCUCAGUUCGGAUUGAAGUCUGCAACUCGACUUCAUGAAGUUGGAAUCGCUAGUAAUCGCGGAUCAGCACGCCGCGGUGAAUACGUUCCCGGGCCUU